GUCCCGAUAGCUCAGCUGGAUAGAGCGUCAGAUUCCUAAUCUGAAGGCCACGCGUUCGAAUCGCGUUCGGGAUACCA
This 77-nucleotide transfer RNA is filed under the name Campylobacteraceae bacterium. Its description in RNAcentral is "tRNA-Arg". It matches the Rfam family "tRNA". Rfam says of the family: Transfer RNA (tRNA) molecules are approximately 80 nucleotides in length. The record is from RNAcentral. Lineage: Bacteria; Pseudomonadati; Campylobacterota; Epsilonproteobacteria; Campylobacterales; Campylobacteraceae.